AGAGUUUGAUCCUGGCUCAGGACGAACGCUGGCGGCGUGCUUAACACAUGCAAGUCGAACGAACCUAGCAAUAGGUUAGUGGCGCACGGGUGCGUAACGCGUAAGAAACCUGCCUCAAAGCCGGGGAUACCCAGUCGAAAGACUGGUUAAUACCGGAUAUUAUUAUGAGACUGCAUAGUUUUAUAAUGAAAGACUUCGGUCGCUUUGAGAUGGUCUUGCGUCUGAUUAGGUAGUUGGUAGGGUAACGGCCUACCAAGCCAACGAUCAGUAGCUGGUCUGAGAGGAUGAUCAGCCACACUGGGACUGAGACACGGUCCAGACUCCUACGGGAGGCAGCAGUGAGGAAUAUUGCGCAAUGGACGAAAGUCUGACGCAGCAACGCCGCGUGUGGGAUGAAGGCCCUCUGGGUCGUAAACCACUGUUGGGAGGGAAGAACGUUCCGGGCAAGGCCUGGAAGUGACGGUACCUCCAUAGAAAGCCCCGGCUAACUACGUGCCAGCAGCCGCGGUAAUACGUAGGGGGCAAGCGUUGUCCGGAUUUACUGGGUGUAAAGGGCGUGUAGGCGGACCGUUAAGUCAGAGGUGAAAGCUCACAGCUCAACUGUGAAAUUGCCUUUGAUACUGGCGGUCUUGAGUACGAAAGAGGAAUAUGGAAUUCCUGGUGUAGCGGUGAAAUGCGUAGAUAUCAGGAGGAACACCGGUGGCGAAGGCGGUCUUCUGGUUCGUAACUGACGCUGAGGCGCGAAAGCAUGGGGAUCAAACAGGAUUAGAUACCCUGGUAGUCCAUGCCGUAAACUAUGAGUGCUAGUUGUUAGCCCGGCUUGAGCUGGGUUAGUGACGCAGCUAACGCAUUAAGCACUCCACCUGGGGAGUACGAUCGCAAGGUUGAAACUCAAAGGAAUUGACGGGGGCCCGCACAAGCGGUGGAGCAUGUGGAUUAAUUCGAUGCAACGCGAAGAACCUUACCUGGGCUCGAAGUGUACCGGACAUCCUGUGAAAGCAGGCCUUCUAGCAAUAGACCGGUGCAUAGGUGCUGCAUGGCUGUCGUCAGCUCGUGUCGUGAGAUGUUGGGUUAAGUCCCGCAACGAGCGCAACCCCUAUCUUUAGUUGCUACCGGGUCAUGCCGGGCACUCUAAAGAGACUGCCUACGCAAGUAGAGAGGAAGGCGGGGAUGACGUCAAGUCCUCAUGGCCCUUACGUCCAGGGCUUCACACGUGCUACAAUGGUGACUACAAAGGGUCGCAAAACCGCGAGGUCAAGCCAAUCCCAAGAAAGUCAUCUCAGUUCGGAUUGGAGUCUGCAACCCGACUCCAUGAAGCUGGAAUCGCUAGUAAUCGUGGAUCAGCACGCCACGGUGAAUACGUUCCCGGGCCUUGUACACACCGCCCGUCAAGCCAUGGAAGUUGCUAGCACCCAAAGCCGGUAUCCUAACCGCAAGGAGGGAGCCGUCUAAGGUGAGAGCAGUGACUGGGGCUAAGUCGAAACAAGGUA
Molecule: ribosomal RNA, 1490 nt
Filed under: metagenome
Description: bacterial SSU rRNA
Rfam family: Bacterial small subunit ribosomal RNA
Source: RNAcentral